RNAcentral lists this ribosomal RNA (495 nucleotides) under uncultured bacterium. RNAcentral's name for it is "partial 16S ribosomal RNA". It matches the Rfam family "Bacterial small subunit ribosomal RNA", at positions 28 to 507 of the family's 1533-position model. The record is from RNAcentral.
GAUGAACGCUGGCGGCGUGCCUAAUACAUGCAAGUAGAACGCUGAAGGAGGAGCUUGCUCUUCUGGAUGAGUUGCGAACGGGUGAGUAACGCGUAGGUAACCUGCCUGGUAGCGGGGGAUAACUAUUGGAAACGAUAGCUAAUACCGCAUGACAACAGUUAUUGCAUGAUAACUGUUUAAAAGGGGCAACUGCUCCACUACCAGAUGGACCUGCGUUGUAUUAGCUAGUUGGUGAGGUAACGGCUCACCAAGGCGACGAUACAUAGCCGGCCUGAGAGGGUGAUCGGCCACACUGGGACUGAGACACGGCCCAGACUCCUACGGGAGGCAGCAGUAGGGAAUCUUCGGCAAUGGACGGAAGUCUGACCGAGCAACGCCGCGUGAGUGAAGAAGGGUUUCGGAUCGUAAAGCUCUGUUGUAAGAGAAGAACGAGUGUGAGAGUGGAAAGUUCACACUGUGACGGUAUCUUACCAGAAAGGGACGGCUAACUACGUG